This 4436-nucleotide long non-coding RNA is filed under the name Sus scrofa (pig). Its description in RNAcentral is "lncRNA (ENSSSCG00030035128.1)". The record is from RNAcentral. Lineage: Eukaryota; Metazoa; Chordata; Mammalia; Artiodactyla; Suidae.
UAGUCACAAGCUAAGCCGCAGCUGCGGCAAUGCUGGAUCCUUAACCCACUGCACAGGGAAACCUGAGACCCAGUGCUCUCAAGAUGCUGCCGAUCGUGGUGCACCACAGCAGGAACUCCAAUUUAGGGAAAUUUUAUUAUCAGGGAAUCAGAGAACAAAGAUGCCAAGUACUUCAAGAGCUCUGGCUCAGACUUGAAACAAAUAUUUGGAAACCGCAUGAUCUUAUAAAGCAAGUUGCACAAUGUACUCCUUCCCUAUCCUAGGGUUAGAUAUGGAUCCCUGGAAGGGAAAGUAAGAGAAGAGAGUGAUAGUGACUACAGUGUAGACUGGCUCCCAGCCUGGCCCAGACUGAGGAGUAAGAAGUAGAAACAGAACACCCAUAAAGAGGUAAGGGCAGAAUUCAGGAGAGAUGAUUAAGCCAUAGCAACAAAAAUGAAAAAGGACAGAAGGAUGAACUUGGGAGCUUGUAAGAUUUUUUAGGUGGGAUUUGUAAGUUCUGGGUAGAGUCGAGAGUGACUGAAAUAUUUGGAGUGGGGCUGUAGAUUAACUGGAUUUCGUAAUGAUGGAUUUUAACAGAAAUGUAUUGUCUCACAUUUCUGGAGGUUGAAUGCCUGAGAUGAAAGUGUCAUCUGGGUUGGCUCCUUCUGAGGACAAAGAGGGAAGGAUGUGUUUCACGCUGCUCUCUUAGCUUCUAGUCCUUUGCUGGUGAUAUUUGGCAUUCCUUGGCUUAUGGGUGCACCACCCUAAACUCUGUGUUCAUAUGGCAUUCUCCCUGUUCUCUUCUUAUGCUCUUCCCUCUUCUUAUGUCUGUCUCCAAAUUUCCCCUUUUUAUAGUGACAUCAUUUUAAAUAAAUUUAAAUCUGUAAUAACCCUACCUCCAAAUAAGAUUACAUGCUAAGAUACUUGUGGUUAAAACUUAGACAUACAAAUUUGGGGGAGGGGCCACAAUUCGACUCAUAACAUGGGUCAACUAUGAAAAUGCUGCAGGAAGAUCAAGAAUAAUGAAGAAUGCAAAUAAACUACUGGGUUUGGCAAUUAGGAGGUUACAGAGAUUUGGCAAGAACAAUCUCAGUAGCAUGACACUGGUAGACAUAGAUUAUAAAGAAGUUGACCGACGUGGGAAAUGUGCUUGGCAGAGGACAUGGAGGGAACAUGCAAAGACAAUGUUCUAUAUAUUUCUCUCUUUUUUUUUUUUUUUUUUUUUUUUUUGUCUUUUGUCUUAUUAGACAUGGCAUGUGGAGGUUCCCAGGCUAGGGGUCCAAUCAGAGCUACAGCUGCUGGCCUACACCACAGCCACAGCAACAUCAGAUCCGAGCCACAUCUGCAAACUUCGCCAAGGCCCAUGGCAACACCAGUCCUUAACACACUUGAGCAAGGCCAGAGAUUGAAACUGCAACCUCAUGGUUCCUAGUCAGAUUCGUUUCCGCUGUGCCACGACAGGAACUACAUAUAUUUCAGGUGAUAUUCAUGUGAUAGGAAAUGUACAUGGAGGCAGAUCCCACUGCAGCCCUUCCCAAAAACCCAAUGGUAUAAACAGAAAUUUUAUAGUUGGGUUGUAUUACUUCCUAUGUGUUAAGCCAAACCUUUAGAAAUUGUGAUUUAAAGUUAGCAACUGGUUUUAGGUAGACAUCUGUGUAACAUGUGGUGGUGUUGCCAUAGUGAUUGUGACUCUAAGAAAUUCAGGGUAGGGUGUUUACACUAUAGAUUCAAAUGUGUUCAAAAUGAAGACAUAAUUUUAGCUACUAAGGACCUUUCCAUGCAUCCCUCUUGAAUGUUAAUAUUAUUCAAAUGAGUAAUAGAACACUUCAGACACUUGCGCUCCAAGAAAAUGAAACGUGUUUCAUCCUCUGUCUGGAGAUACUCUUCUAAAAUGCAAGAGUUCAAAAAAACUGAAAAUUCAAAUAGAGUUUAUGAGCUGUACAGCAGGAAGGAGUAGGGUUUAGAAGGCUGAUUUCAGUGCCUGCUGAGUUUUCAUUUCUCUUCACUAGGGCCAGUUGCUGCGUUUCAGAAACAGAGAAGCUUUGAAAGCUAAGAUGUGUGAUCAAGAACAUGGAAUUGGUUUCCUAUGUAUGUUGAAAACCCCAAUUUGAAAGAAAUGCUUUAUUCCUUUUCAAGCUUCCCUACUGUUUUGGUGAAUUCCUUUCUUAUAUGAUCCCAUAGGACUGAAUUUUGUGCUCCCGCCUUCAGGCUGGAAAGAGUUUAGUCCUGCGUGCUAAAGACUGAUUCUCCCAAAGUGUGGCCACUUGGCUGCCAGCCCUUUGAAGUUCCUGCUACAGCCAAGUUUCCUGCUGCUGGGGAUUUUCCACUUCCUUCUGUUUCUUUUUCUUUUUCUUUUUUUUUUUUUUUUUUUUUUUUUUUGUCUUUUUUUUGUUGUUGUUGUUGUUGCUAUUUCUUGGGCCGCUCAAGCGGCAUAUGGAGGUUCCCAGGCUAGGGGUUGAAUCGGAGCUGUAGCCACCGGCCCACGCCAGAGCCACAGCAACUCAGGAUCCAAGCCGCGUCUGCAACCUACACCACAGCUCACGGCAACGCCGGAUCGUUAACCCACUGAGCAAGGGCAGGGACCGAACCUGCAACCUCAUAGUUCCUAGACGGAUUCGUUAACCACUGCACCACCACGGGAACUCCCCACUUCCUUCUGUUUCUACUCCACCACUGGUCUGCCCCUUCACACAGUGGAAGCCAACAAGGAGUGUGCUGGAACCUCACCGUGAAUCCUAUCCCCCACAAAGAGCCUACUUUCCACAUUCCACAGACCUUCUCUGCUGGAGAAUCUAGAAAAUCAGUCUUGGAAUCUUGUUAAAUCCCCCCUGAUGGGACCCAACAAAUCCACAAAAUGGAGCAUAGAUAGUCACAAUGCAUGGGCUUUUGCUUAAAAUUAUUUUAGGAAGUUUAUUGCAUUUGAUGAGAUACGUGGCUCAAAAAGAAACCAUGUCCUAGAAACAUCCAUAACUGUUUAUUAAAAUGGUCGGCCCCUCUACUGAUUGAUGAUUUGGGGGAGGUGCAUACAGCUGUGAAAUCAUAACAGCUUGUACACUUUAAACAAGGGCAGCUUGGGAGUUCCCUGGUGGGAGGGAUUCAGCACUCUUACCAUGGCAAUCCCAGAUUCAAUCCCUGGUCUGGGAAGGGGGAUGUCACGUCAGGCUGCUGAGGGCCUGGCCAAAAAAAUGUACCCCCUCUUUUUAUCAGCUAUUCCUCAAUAAGGUUGUGGAGGAAAUGCGUGUGCUCCUGAGCAAGUUUAUCUUUUAGUCUCUCACUGACAGUGUGGUAUCUUGGAAUUUGGCCAGUGACCUUCACAUGCUCAUUUAUUCACCAUGGGGUAAGGCUGGACAUGGACUUGUCCCCUAGGGCGGGACAGGUGUUGGGAUAGGUGAGCGCUUCACCAUGCAAACAAAGUGGCUGCAAAAGCAUGAACAAAUAACCCAGUGACUUCAGGCUCAGCAAAUGGAACACUGAAAUGAUGUCCUAAUACUCUAAGUUGCCAUUCCUCGGAUACUCGCCCAAGGAGACCCGUCUGUAACAGUGGUACAUGAGCACAGGGCGGGAGCACAUUGCCAUGACCCCCAGAAACAUAGUUUUUCAAGGCUCUACUUCAAUUUAAUUUUAUGAAUCUUGACUCCUAGAAAGCUCUUCAUGGUGCCAGGCUUUUAUGCUACCAAUCUUCCCCUCUGAUCUGCAGACCUGACAUCACCAGUCCCCAGUGCUGGGUGACCUGCUUUGGGUCUGGACACAUAGCCCCUUUCCUUCAGUUCUCCCACCCCAAUGACUGCCCACCACGGAAACAUUACAUGAGCCUUAGAUAGAGUCAGGACCCAGGGAAGGGGGAUUCUGGGAUCUAAUUUGUAGGGAGCUGCAAGUACUAGAACCAAGUACACUGAAAAAGGUGGAUUCUGGGGUUUUUCCCUCCUGUCCUUGAAAGCCAGGUUGGUUCCACACGGAGAAGCUACAGAGGUAUUUUUUCAGUCAGAUCCUACUGAGAGAGAAUUGCAGAGCAGCAGGCAGAUGAUAGGCCUGUGAAUGUCCAGGGGAGAAUGUGUGUAGGGGAAAGGGUGGAAGAGGGAGGUAUAAAAACAGGGAAUAAGAGAGCAAAUGAGAUGGAGGAAAGAAGGGAUGAGAGCCCCCAGUUGCUGGAGACCAUGAUGCCAUCUGUCCUUUAUUAAAUUGUGUCAAGGUCUAGGGUCUGGUCAGAAAUGCCUUCUGAGUUUAUUAAUCAUACUCACCUUUGGACUGAGUUUAACAUUGUAAACAACAAGGAUCAAUGACCUCAUUUCCUGGAGCAAUGGGGGUGGCUUGAGANUGAGAGAGAAAAAAGAAAAAGGGAAAAGGAGACUUGAGAAAAGGAGAGAGGAAAAUGAAGUCUAAAAGUAGUUAUUUCGGAGUUCCUGUAGUGGCGCAGUGGUUAACGAAUCCGACUAGGAACCAUGAGGUUGCGGGUUCCA